UACGGGGGGGGCAAGCGUUGUUCGGAAUUACUGGGCGUAAAGGGCUCGUAGGCGGCCAACUAAGUCGGAUGUGAAAUCCCCAGGCUCAACCUGGGAACUGCAUCCGAUACUGGAUGGCUUGAAUUCGGGAGAGGGAUGCAGAAUUCCAGGUGUAGCGGUGAAAUGCGUAGAUAUCUGGAGGAAUACCGGUGGCGAAGGCGGCAUCCUGGACCGAAACUGACGCUGAGGAGCGAAAGCUAGGGGAGCAAACGGG
Molecule: ribosomal RNA, 253 nt
Filed under: uncultured bacterium
Lineage: Bacteria
Description: partial 16S ribosomal RNA
Rfam family: Bacterial small subunit ribosomal RNA
Source: RNAcentral